This 260-nucleotide ribosomal RNA is filed under the name uncultured bacterium. Its description in RNAcentral is "partial 16S ribosomal RNA". It matches the Rfam family "Bacterial small subunit ribosomal RNA", at positions 102 to 353 of the family's 1533-position model. The record is from RNAcentral.
ACGGGUGAGUAACACGUGGGUAACCUGCCCUUAAGUGGGGGAUAACAUUUGGAAACAGAUGCUAAUACCGCAUAAAUCCAAAAACCGCAUGGUUCUUGGCUGAAAGAUGGCGUAAGCUAUCGCUUUUGGAUGGACCCGCGGCGUAUUAGCUAGUUGGUGAGGUAACGGCUCACCAAGGCAAUGAUACGUAGCCGAACUGAGAGGUUGAUCGGCCACAUUGGGACUGAGACACGGCCCAAACUCCUACGGGAGGCAGCAUG